Molecule: ribosomal RNA, 497 nt
Filed under: uncultured bacterium
Lineage: Bacteria
Description: partial 16S ribosomal RNA
Rfam family: Bacterial small subunit ribosomal RNA
Source: RNAcentral
GAUGAACGCUGGCGGCGUGCCUAAUACAUGCAAGUCGAGCGAACAGACGAGGAGCUUGCUCCUCUGACGUUAGCGGCGGACGUGUGAUUAACACGUGGAUAACCUACCUAUAAGACUUGGAUAACUUCGGGAAACCGGAGCUAAUACCGGAUCAUAUAUUGAACCGCAUGGUUCAAUAGUGUAAGACGGUUUUGCUGUCUCUUAUAGAUUGUUCCGCGCCGCAUUAGCUAGUUGGUAAGGUAACGGCUUACCAAGGCAGCGAUGCGUAGCCGACCUGAGAGGGUGAUCGGACACACUGGAAGUGAGACAGGGACCAGAGUCCUACGGGAGGCAGCAGUAGGGAAUAUUCCGCAAUGGGAGAAAGCAUGACGGAGCAACGCCGCGUGAGUGAUGAAGGUCUUAGGAUCGUAAAACUCUGUUAUUAGGGAAGAAAAAAUGAGUAAGUAACUAUGCACGUAGUGACGGUACCUAAUCAGAAAGCCACGGCUAACUACGUG